CUCGGCUGCCCGUCCCGAUCAGAAUCCUGUCGCGGUGCUCUUCACUGAGUGUCGAGGCGGGCCGGCACGUUUACUUUGAACAAAUUAGAGUGCUCAAAGCAGGCUAAAACAUCGCCUGAAUACUGUGUGCAUGGAAUAAUGGAACAGGACCUCGGUUCUAUUUUGUUGGUUUUCGGAACCCCGAGGUAAUGAUUAAUAGGGACAGAUGGGGGCAUUCGUAUUGCGACGUUAGAGGUGAAAUUCUUGGAUCGUCGCAAGACGGGAAACAUUCGCCAAAAUGUUUUCAUUAAUCAAGAACGAAAGUCAGAGGUUCGAAGGCGAUCAGAUACCGCCCUAGUUCUGACCAUAAACGAUGCCAGCUAGCGAUCCGCCGACGUUCCUCCGAUGACUCGGCGGGCAGCUUCCGGGAAACCAAAGCUUUUGGGUUCCGGGGGAAGUAUGGUUGCAAAGCUGAAACUUAAAGGAAUUGACGGAAGGGCACCACCAGGAGUGGAGCCUGCGGCUUAAUUUGACUCAACACGGGAAAACUCACCAGGUCCGGAUACCGAAAGGAUUGACAGAUUGAGAGCUCUUUCUUGAUUCGGUGGGUGGUGGUGCAUGGCCGUUCUUAGUUGU
RNAcentral lists this ribosomal RNA (615 nucleotides) under Microdytes boukali. RNAcentral describes it as "SSU rRNA". It matches the Rfam family "Eukaryotic small subunit ribosomal RNA", at positions 682 to 1301 of the family's 1831-position model. The record is from RNAcentral. Lineage: Eukaryota; Metazoa; Arthropoda; Insecta; Coleoptera; Dytiscidae.